This 470-nucleotide ribosomal RNA is filed under the name uncultured Neisseria sp. RNAcentral describes it as "bacterial SSU rRNA". It matches the Rfam family "Bacterial small subunit ribosomal RNA", at positions 47 to 507 of the family's 1533-position model. Lineage: Bacteria; Pseudomonadati; Pseudomonadota; Betaproteobacteria; Neisseriales; Neisseriaceae. The record is from RNAcentral.
UUUACUACAUGCAAUCGGACGGCAGCACAGAGAAGCUUGCUUCUUGGGUAGGCGAGUGGCGAACGGGUGAGUAACAUAUUGGAACGUACCGAGCAUGGGGAGUAACUAAUCGAAAGAUUAGCUAAUACGCAUAUCUUCUGAGGAAGAAAGCAGGGGACCAUUUGGCCUUGCGCUGUUUGAGCGGCCGAUAUCUGAUUAGCUAGUUGGUGGGGUAAAGGCCUACCAAGGCGACGAUCAGUAGCGGGUCUGAGAGGAUGAUCCGCCACACUGGGACUGAGACACGGCCCAGACUCCUACGGGAGGCAGCAGUGGGGAAUUUUUGGACAAUGGGCGAAAGCCUGAUCCAGCCAUGCCGCGUGUCUGAAGAAGGCCUUCGGGUUGUAAAGGACUUUUGUCAGGGAAGAAAAGGGCGGGGUUAAUACCCCUGUCUGAUGACGGUACCUGAAGAAUAAGCACCGGCUAACUACGUG